Molecule: long non-coding RNA, 219 nt
Organism: Syngnathus typhle (broad-nosed pipefish)
Lineage: Eukaryota; Metazoa; Chordata; Actinopteri; Syngnathiformes; Syngnathidae
Exons: 3
Source: RefSeq, a predicted model, not a curated record
UGGACUUCUACAAAGAUCACUGCUUUCGGCUCAAAGAUAAACACGUAACUGGAACAGGUCUGCAAAAACGAAGAGGCGGCAAAAGGGGCGAAAGACGAAGAACUGAACUGAUCAUUUCAGAUAUCAUGAAAGCAGAAGCUACUGGGAGUCUGGGAACACUAGAGAUAAACCCUCUGUCCAAUGCAAUUGCCCGCUAUAUGGGUGUUGACCUAUCACCCA